AGCAGUAGCCACGGGAAUACGGAGGGUGCAAGCGUUAAUCGGAAUUACUGGGCGUAAAGCGUGCGUAGGCGGUUCGUUAAGUCUGUUGUGAAAGCCCCGGGCUCAACCUGGGAAUGGCAACGGAUACUGGCGAGCUAGAGUGUGUCAUAGGAUGGUGGAAUUCCCGGUGUAGCGGUGAAAUGCGUAGAGAUCGGGAGGAACAUCAGUGGCGAAGGCGGCCAUCUGGGACAACACUGACGCUGAGGCACGAAAGCGUGGGGAGCAAACAGGAUUAGAUACCCCUGUAGUCCCUGUCUCUUAUAC
This 303-nucleotide ribosomal RNA is filed under the name uncultured bacterium. Its description in RNAcentral is "partial 16S ribosomal RNA". It matches the Rfam family "Bacterial small subunit ribosomal RNA", at positions 507 to 807 of the family's 1533-position model. The record is from RNAcentral.